This is a long non-coding RNA of Dermacentor silvarum, 553 nucleotides long. RefSeq lists it as uncharacterized. Lineage: Eukaryota; Metazoa; Arthropoda; Arachnida; Ixodida; Ixodidae. The transcript has 3 exons. The record is from RefSeq and is a predicted model, not a curated record.
CGCGUUGCCCGCUGCUGCUACCUGCGGCUAGAUUGUUCCUCCUGCCUUGUUUUGGGGUGUUUAUUUGUUUUUAGACCGGGAAACGUUCCAAAGCGCACAUUCAGGCGCGUGUAGAGUCACUGACAGUUAAGUUUGCGUUUCGCUUGUUAUUGGCCUAAUCAAAUUCUAGGGUUUAAUUCCGAAAGCUCUGCAAGAAGCAGUCCACCGGAGAACGUUGAUAAGCGGAGGUUGAUUUAGCUGUGACAUAACUGUUAAGAAAAAAACCAGGGCGUCCACAUAAAUUUCGAGGCCACAGCCCAGCCAUGUGGUGUGGGGACUGGAGCCAGCUGCCACAGGAGUCAUUACGCUUCCUGACCUCUUCGUCGCAGAGUAGCCUUGAGGUGUGCCCUGUCGUAAUCUUGUGUGCUUCAGCUGUGUUGAAAAUAUGUUCUUAAGCAACUGCAUGGAUUUUCCCCCUCAUGCUACAGUUGAGCCUCGCGAUAACAAUGUUGCACCGGACAUGAAAAUACCGUUGUUGUGUUUGAUAUCUGUUGCAGCACACUUACGUGCUCGU